GUGAGUCAUCGAAUCUUUGAACGCACCUUGCGCUCCUCGGUAUUCCGAGGAGCAUGCCUGUUUGAGUGUCAUUAAAUUCUCAAACCCCACCGGUCUACUGAUCGUCGGGCUUGGACUUGGAGCGGUGCUGGCGAAAGUCGGCUCCUCUCAAAUGCAUCAGCGGAAUCCAGCCUUUGGCUUCGGUGUGAUAAUAAAAGUUACGCCGUCGUCUUCGGAAAUCAAUGGUCCGCUCACAAUGGUCUUCGGACAAUUCGUAUGCAAUUUGACCUCAAAUCAGGUAGGUACUACCCGCUGAAACUUAAGCAGAUCCAAUUAAGCGGUAGG
Molecule: ribosomal RNA, 324 nt
Filed under: uncultured fungus
Lineage: Eukaryota; Fungi
Description: eukaryotic LSU rRNA
Rfam family: 5.8S ribosomal RNA (bases 1-71)
Source: RNAcentral